GACCGCUCACUCGAAUCUGCUCGUCUGCCGUCGCCAUCUCGUGUCAACGUUGACGUUGACGCGUCUUGAGCGUUGGGCACGAGAACCCGUUCUGCUAUCUUUUACGGAAGUACAAGGAGAAAGCCCCGCCCUUCAGGGCGGGGAUGAAUCCGACAGUCGAUAACAC
Molecule: unclassified non-coding RNA, 166 nt
Filed under: Halorubrum xinjiangense
Lineage: Archaea; Methanobacteriati; Methanobacteriota; Halobacteria; Halobacteriales; Haloferacaceae
Description: HgcC family RNA
Source: RNAcentral